Molecule: transfer RNA, 76 nt
Filed under: Cavia porcellus (domestic guinea pig)
Lineage: Eukaryota; Metazoa; Chordata; Mammalia; Rodentia; Caviidae
Rfam family: tRNA
About the family: Transfer RNA (tRNA) molecules are approximately 80 nucleotides in length. Their secondary structure includes four short double-helical elements and three loops (D, anti-codon, and T loops). Further hydrogen bonds mediate the characteristic L-shaped molecular structure. tRNAs have two regions of fundamental functional importance: the anti-codon, which is responsible for specific mRNA codon recognition, and the 3' end, to which the tRNAs corresponding amino acid is attached (by aminoacyl-tRNA synthetases). tRNAs cope with the degeneracy of the genetic code in two manners: having more than one tRNA (with a specific anti-codon) for a particular amino acid; and 'wobble' base-pairing, i.e. permitting non-standard base-pairing at the 3rd anti-codon position.
Source: Rfam by way of RNAcentral
UGGGAUUUAGCUCAGUGGUGGUGUAAGCACCUGCCUGGCAAGUGCAUGGUUGUAAGUUCAAUUCUUGCUAUCACAA